AUACGGAGGGUGCAAGCGUUAUCCGGAAUCAUUGGGUUUAAAGGGUCCGUAGGCGGAUAAUUAAGUCAGAGGUGAAAUCCCACAGCUUAACUGUGGCACUGCCUUUGAUACUGGUUAUCUCGAGUUACAGGGAAGUAGAUAGAAUAUGUAGUGUAGCGGUGAAAUGCAUAGAUAUUACAUAGAAUACCGAUUGCGAAGGCAGUCUACUAUCUGUAUACUGACGCUAAUGGACGAAAGCGUGGGGAGCGAACAGGAUUAGAAACCCCUGUAGUCC
Molecule: ribosomal RNA, 274 nt
Filed under: uncultured bacterium
Lineage: Bacteria
Description: partial 16S ribosomal RNA
Rfam family: Bacterial small subunit ribosomal RNA
Source: RNAcentral